Molecule: ribosomal RNA, 550 nt
Filed under: uncultured bacterium
Lineage: Bacteria
Description: bacterial SSU rRNA
Rfam family: Bacterial small subunit ribosomal RNA
Source: RNAcentral
AAUAGAUACCCCGGUAGUCCACGCCGUAAACGGUGGGCACUAGGUGUGGGCGACAUUCCACGUCGUCCGUGCCGCAGCUAACGCAUUAAGUGCCCCGCCUGGGGAGUACGGCCGCAAGGCUAAAACUCAAAGGAAUUGACGGGGGCCCGCACAAGCGGCGGAGCAUGUGGCUUAAUUCGACGCAACGCGAAGAACCUUACCAAGGCUUGACAUAACACCGGAAACGUCCAGAGAUGGGCGCCCCCUUGUGGUCGGUGUACAGGUGGUGCAUGGCUGUCGUCAACUCGUGUCGUGAGAUGUUGGGUUAAGUCCCGCAACGAGCGCAACCCUUGUCCCGUGUUGCCAGCAGGCCCUUGUGGUGCUGGGGACUCACGGGAGACCGCCGGGGUCAACUCGGAGGAAGGUGGGGACGACGUCAAGUCAUCAUGCCCCUUAUGUCUUGGGCUGCACACGUGCUACAAUGGCCGGUACAAUGAGCUGCGAUACCGCGAGGUGGAGCGAAUCUCAAAAACGCCGGUUCUCGAGUUCGGAUUGGGGUCUGCAACGUCCG